UCUGCUGUGGGCGCACGAAACUUGAGGGGUAUUCUCUUUAGUACGAGAGGAUUUGGAGGGACGUACCUCUGGUGUUCCUGUUGUCACGCCAGUGGCAGCGCAGGGUAGCUAUGUACGGUUGUGAUAAGCGCUGAAAGCAUCUAAGCGCGAAGCCAUCCCCGAGAUUAGGUUUCGUUGGACUUCGGUCCUGAACUCCCCUGGAAGACUACCAGGUUGAUAGGCUGGCUGUGUAAGGCGUGCAAACGCUUAAGCUGACCAGUACUAACGGAGGAAUGCUUGACCAC
RNAcentral lists this ribosomal RNA (284 nucleotides) under Fuerstiella sp. RNAcentral describes it as "partial 23S ribosomal RNA". It matches the Rfam family "Bacterial large subunit ribosomal RNA", at positions 2641 to 2925 of the family's 2925-position model. Lineage: Bacteria; Pseudomonadati; Planctomycetota; Planctomycetia; Planctomycetales; Planctomycetaceae. The record is from RNAcentral.